This 405-nucleotide ribosomal RNA is filed under the name uncultured bacterium. RNAcentral's name for it is "partial 16S ribosomal RNA". It matches the Rfam family "Bacterial small subunit ribosomal RNA", at positions 30 to 526 of the family's 1533-position model. The record is from RNAcentral.
AUUGAACGCUGGCGGCAGGCUUAACACAUGCAAGUCGAACGAGUGGCGGACGGGUGAGUAAUGCUUGGGAAUCUAGCUUAUGGAGGGGGAUCACUACGGGAAACUGUAGCUAAUACCGCGUACCAUAGGAUGAGCCCAAAUGGGAUUCGGUAGUUGGUGAGGGAAAGGCGCACCAAGGCGACGAUCGCUAGCUGGUCUGAGAGGAUGACCAGUCACACUGGGAUUGAGACCAGGGCCAGACUCCUACGGGAGGCAGGAGUGGGGAAUAGUGCGAAAUGGGGGAAACCUGACGCAGCCAUGCCGCGUGAAUGAAGAAGGCCAUCGGGUUGUAAAGUUCUUUCGGUAGCGAGGCGUUAACUACAGAAGAAGCACCGGCUAACUCCGUGCCAGCAGCCGCGGUAAUUC